RNA transcript from Prosopis cineraria, 2815 nucleotides. It is a transcript of the gene named heat stress transcription factor B-2b, with no coding region annotated. The transcript has 4 exons. Lineage: Eukaryota; Viridiplantae; Streptophyta; Magnoliopsida; Fabales; Fabaceae. The record is from RefSeq and is a predicted model, not a curated record.
GCUCAUUCUCGUAAAGUCGCAACUCGUGACUUUUCUAGCGCCUUCUUAUCCCUUCGCUUUCUCUCGAUCCAUCAUACGUGGGACCCGCUGUUAUUAUUGAUUUCCAAAUUCCUCCGUUCUCUUUUCCUUCUGGAACCCGCGAUUGCUCUUUCAUUCUCUCCCUCCUCCCUCCUCAACCCCAUCCCCUUAUUAUUUACUCCCGCCGCAGAAACUUCUAGAAGCAACAGAAAAACCUACCACCUCCCUUCUUCCCUCUCUUGCCGCAACCGGUGCUUCUGCUUUAGGUCGUUUCUGGUUCAACUGCUUGCGACUGCGUUUCUUGUUGGAUGACGAGUUUCCACUUUCGAGAGCCUUAAUUCAUCCAUCUCUGUCAAGUUGGAGGAUAGUUAUGAAGGAACGAGAACAUUGAGCUUCAGAUCUGGAAGUGGAGCUCAUGGCGCCAUUGCCGGUGGAGCAGACCGGUGAAUCCGCACCGACUGACUCGCAGAGAUCUAUCCCGACGCCGUUUCUGACGAAAACCUACCAACUUGUAGACGACCCCUCUGUGGAUGACCUGAUUUCCUGGAACGAAGAUGGAACGAGUUUCAUAGUUUGGCGACCCGCUGAGUUCGCCCGGGAUUUGCUUCCAAAAUAUUUCAAACACAAUAACUUUUCCAGUUUCGUCCGUCAACUGAAUACCUAUGGAUUUCGGAAGGUUGUCCCCGAUCGUUGGGAAUUCGUUAAUGAUUGUUUCCGACGAGGCGAGAGAAGCCUACUUCGGGACAUUCAACGGCGGAAAAUAUCGACGCCCACGGCUGCCGUAGCAACGGCCAAUACAGUGACGGUGGCUGCAGUACCUGCCGCCGCCCUAGGGGUGUCUCCGACCAACUCCGGUGAGGAACAGGUAAUCUCUUCGAACACAUCUCCGGUUGCCGCACCUAACACAGUGCAGCGCACCACAAGUUGCACCACUGCACCCGAGCUCUUAGAAGAGAAUGAACAGCUUCGGAAAGAGAACAUGCAAUUGAGUAACGAAUUGAGUCAAUUGAAGGGGUUGUGUAAUAAUAUACUGUCAUUGAUGACGAAUUAUGCUUCAAGCCAAUUAGAGUCCGGUAGUGCCGCCGAAGCAAAACCGUUGGAGCUUUUACGUGCGACGCAGCUUUCGGCAGAGGAAGCCACCGUAGGAGGCGGCGCUUCGCAAGAGACGAAAGUUGCAGAAGUGGAGGUGCCCAAAUUGUUUGGGGUUUCAAUCGGGACAAAACGACGUCGGAGUUCGGAGGUUGAGGAGGCAGAAAAAGAACAAAAUCAAACACAAUCGUCCCAGGAACCCGAUGGUGGUUCCGAUGUAAAAAUAGAGCCGUUAGAUGGCAGUAAUUCCGACGAUCAGGAGACACCCUGGUUAGAGCUUGGAAAACAAUAGCCGCUGCCCGCUGAGUUAUUAUCUGGGUGACGCUCGCUACAUCUUGUGCUGCCAUGUUCGGAUGCUGUAAACUGAAAAGCGAGUCUCACGUGCCAAAGGCUGGGAGUCACGUGAUUCAAAGCCCCAUCUUCUUCCCGUUGUUGCUGCACAGUUACGACGAAGAAGUGGUCAAUGGAGCGGGAAGGAUUAGAAAAUAAGUGAUGCUUUGGUUGGGUGUGAAAAGUGAAAAGUUGCGAAGGGAAAGCGAAAAUGACGGAUCAGGAUCGGACGUGGAUAGAGCAACCAGCAACGCGACCUGGUUAUUCUAGGCAGAUGUGAUUUCGAUCGGAUUCAAUAGGGAACGCAAUUAAAAUGUCGGUUUACUGGCACUACGGUUUCAGAUCCUUUGAAGGGGUUGAGGAGAAAGAUGACUGAAUUGGGGAAAUACUCUGUUCUUGUUUAUUUGUGCCGGUGGUGUUGGAACUUGAGAUGUCCCAUGUGAAAAUGUACCAAUAUCAAUGAUUAAUGGGUUCGGAUCGAAGUUCAAAACUGGCAAUUAGUGUUUGGUGUCCACUUCGCCACCUGGGCAAUGUUGAUUCUUGUUCUCUCUUUGCCCAUCGUCACCUGAUUCAAGAGGACUGACUGACAAAACAAGCAUUCAAAAUUGUCAAUGCAAACGCCUAAUUUGGUGCCGUUAAUGUUGACCUAGUCAUCAAUAAGGGAAGCUGCACCAUGACGAAAACACAGAUUCAAUAUUUAAUAUUUAAUGUAGCCUUCCUCGUGUGGAGCUAUGUUUCAAAGGUCAAAGGGCCUGGCGCCUACUUUUCUUUGGGCCAGGUACCCAGUGCCUGCCUAACCGGGCAUUAGGAAUUGAGACGUGAUGUCCAACAAUCCAAGUUAGGGAUCAAUGAAUUUUGACUGUGCCCGGUAGAAAGGGGCUCCUUUAUGAAAAAUCAUGACAAUGAGGUCCAAUGAAUGAGUCGAGAUAUUGCUUUGAGGUCCAUGGAUUUGAGUUUGGUCUUCUCCAAACUUUUUGGUUUGCUGGUGACGGUGCAUCCCACAAACUUUGCCUUUAAUGGCGGAUUCGUCCAUGUACAUAGUGUGGGAUUGCCUUUUAUUUUUUGAACACAUCACAUGAAUCGACAUAUUUUGUUCGGGCCAGAAAUUUGGUCUUUUCUAAGAUUUUCGUUAUUUUGGUCGAAGAAUUGUUAUCGGGUUACUCAUUUUUGGAUCUUCCAUUUGAGUUCAGCCUAUCUGAAGUGGAGCUACGCCACUGGGAUACUGAGAGGUCUGAAUUAUUAUUUUUUUAAAUGUUCUUGAAUGAACAUGAUGGUUCAAUAUUGGACAGAUUCAAUUUGAAAUUAGUAUAACUUUUGUCAGCUAUGUACCCAAAAAAAAAAAAAAAACAAACUGUUGUCAGCUUGUGGGUUAGAUUUU